RNAcentral lists this ribosomal RNA (255 nucleotides) under uncultured bacterium. RNAcentral's name for it is "partial 16S ribosomal RNA". It matches the Rfam family "Bacterial small subunit ribosomal RNA", at positions 524 to 776 of the family's 1533-position model. The record is from RNAcentral.
UACGUAGGGGGCAAGCGUUGUCCGGAAUCAUUGGGCGUAAAGCGCGUGUAGGCGGCCCGGUAAGUCCGCUGUGAAAGUCGGGGGGCUCAACCCUCGAAUGCCGGUGGAUACUGUCGGGCUAGAGUGCGGAAGAGGCGAGUGGAAUUCCUGGUGUAGCGGUGAAAUGCGCAGAUAUCAGGAGGAACACCAAUUGCGAAGGCAGCUUACUACACAAUGAUUGACACUGAGGCAACGAAAGCGUGGGUAGCAAACAGG